Molecule: small nuclear RNA, 165 nt
Organism: Erpetoichthys calabaricus (reedfish)
Lineage: Eukaryota; Metazoa; Chordata; Cladistia; Polypteriformes; Polypteridae
Gene: U1
Rfam family: U1 spliceosomal RNA
About the family: U1 is a small nuclear RNA (snRNA) component of the spliceosome (involved in pre-mRNA splicing). Its 5' end forms complementary base pairs with the 5' splice junction, thus defining the 5' donor site of an intron. There are significant differences in sequence and secondary structure between metazoan and yeast U1 snRNAs, the latter being much longer (568 nucleotides as compared to 164 nucleotides in human).
Source: Ensembl
AUACUUCUCUGGCAGGGGAGAUACCAUGAUCACUAAGGCAGUUUUCCCAGGGUGAGGUUCAUCCUUUGCACUCUUGAGUGUGCUGACUCCUGCGAUUUCCCCAAAUGCAGGAAGCUCGACAGCAUAAUUUCUGGUAGGGGGGGAUGGCGUUCACACUCUCCCCUG